Salvia splendens (bonfire salvia) is the source of this 2324-nucleotide long non-coding RNA. RefSeq lists it as uncharacterized. The record is from RefSeq and is a predicted model, not a curated record. The transcript has 3 exons. NCBI's taxonomy places the organism in Eukaryota, Viridiplantae, Streptophyta, Magnoliopsida, Lamiales, Lamiaceae.
GCCGCCGAUCCGCCGCCCUGCCGGCGCCGCCGCUCCGGGCGGCGUCUCUCUCCUCCCUCUCGUCUCUCUCUCUCUCCUAUCCCUCUCUCUCUUCUCUUCUCUCUUCACCGUCGCGCCGCCAUCAUUUCCAAAUCUCCCUUUCGUUCAGGUCAGUCGCCGCCGCGGAGGCCGCUGUCACCUCGCGCAGCCCCAGCCACCGUCGUCGAUUCCCGUCAGAUUCUAAAGAACGAAAUUAGUGACGAAUUGUUGGGGCGUGGGCUGUCACCGUCGGCGACGGAGUGCUGAGCUCGCUGCCGGAACCCGGCAGAUUCAUGGAGAUAAGCUUUUCUCCUUCUUUCUAGUUGUUAAGGCUGUAGGAUUCUAUAUUAUUUCUAUUUACUAAAUUUGGUGAAUUUUGAGUAUAUGCCUUGCUAUGUGGGAGAUUUGGGUGACUCAUAUUAAACUUAUUGUAUUGGGGUUGUGAAUUCUAAAUCUGGGCAGAUCCUAUUUCCAAAUACAUAUAUGUAUGCUUGUACAUAUAUAAAUAAAAGGAGAUGUUUGUUGUUUACCUUUUGAAGUGGAAGGUAAAGUGUUGGUUUGUAGUAUUUGAACCCACAAUUGAGUGCCAUCUCCCUCCUCGGACUCCUCUUUUGUGGGGUUAUGUGAGCAGAGAAAUUUGGAUGUUUGAUUGAUUGUAUAUACAUACAUACAUAUACAUCUUGAAACUUAUCUUCCAAGAUAUUCCGUCAGAGGAUAUGGUCUCCUUCCGCCAUGCAAUUAAUAUCGCAGUGAAAAUGAUGACACGCAAACAAAAUCAUCAAUAUACAAAUCCCACAGUGAAAAGGCAAAUACAUAUGACAAAAUAACUACAGUAAAAUUCCAGUCGAUGAGAAAUUUAUUUCAAUUUCUGUCAGACAUCGCUGUGGAAAAAGUGAUAACCUAUAACAAAGUAGCGGCGUUGAACUAGAAGAACCAUUAGCGCAGUCAACAUAAUAAACUGAAAAACAAAAAACAGAGCAAAAGUUGGACCUGCAGUAUACUAAACAAAAACAAGAACUAUUACAUGGUCUAUAUCAUUCUUAUGAAGAAUUUCAAGGCUAUAUCAUUUUACGUUUUUCAUCCUUCUUUCUGCUUCAUUUAUGAUAAUUCAAUACAACAUUUUUCUUUUGAAGCUAUUCCAUUUAUUCUAAACUCUAUUUAGGGUGUUCCUGUUCCAGAAAUGUUAACAGACCUUGUGAUAUGAAAAAAUAUGAAUAGUAACAUAGUGAUCUGAAUUCCAUCUAUGAGCAUGGCACUAACAAAAUAGAUAGGUUUAAAGGCAGAAAAAUAUAAUAAUGGAAGUUAAACAAUGAGUUGGAUUCUACGGUCUUUUUUAACAUACUUGAGGUUUCCCCUAGAAUAUUUGGCACUAUUUUUGUGCAGGUGGCACCUCCUUAAUACUGCGGUAAGCGCGAUGUAUCACAAGCUAGACGUAAUAGAUGGUACAAAAAAUGGGUAUGUUAAUAUAAGCAGUAGUGAUGAUUAGAGCCAUAAUAGAUGGUGACAGCGUGAAACAAGCAUGACCAUUUUAAGCCACCCCCAGUAGUGAAGCAUUUCGGCCAGAGGUUACAGAUUUGUGUGGAAGGAGUUUGUCCCACCAAAGUACUCCUUCACUACUUGGCAAGCUCUCAAAGGACGACUUCCAACGAGGGAUAGACUGGGCUAUAAGAACAUCGAUCAACGCUGCCCCUUGUGCAUGGCGCACACGGAGUCUGUGGACCACCUUUUCUUCAAAUGCCACAAGACUUGGGCAGUUUGGAAGGAGAUCAAAUCUUCGCUGGGAAUGCGAAGGAACAUCACCACCAUACCGAGCGCCAUCAAGUGGAUGAUCAAGGAAAGAAGUGGCGCGGCAAUCAUCCGCAAGGCUAGAAGGCUAGCCCUCAUCGCAAUGGUCAGCCUAAUGUGGAGAGGUAGGAAUGCCUUGAUUUUUGACGGAUCAGCAUUCGAACCCAAGCACUUGGUGUUCGAAGUGAAGAAGGUAACAUAUGCAGUGUUAUACUACCUUUAUCCGCAUGAACAAGUGACCGAGCACUUGGGAGUUUAGCGUUGCUCUCGGCCACGGGGGUACUCUUUUUCCUACUAGGGAUUUUUUCCCAUCGGGUUUAUCUCUAGGAGGUUUUAACGAGGCCCCACCCCUACCUUCAUUGGGGUAACGUGGACGGUAGCAAUGAGUACAAGCACACCUUGAUGGAAAGAAGUACCGACGCAAAUCACGUGGAUCCCAUCUUGAAGACUUUAACCGAAGUGAUGUCUUAUGUUGAUUUUGUUGAUGCAUUGAUAUUAUAUGUUGUUUUUCGGCUUGUGAU